Long non-coding RNA from Cercocebus atys (sooty mangabey), 653 nucleotides. RefSeq lists it as uncharacterized. The transcript is spliced from 3 exons. NCBI's taxonomy places the organism in Eukaryota, Metazoa, Chordata, Mammalia, Primates, Cercopithecidae. The record is from RefSeq and is a predicted model, not a curated record.
GACGUCUCCCGUCGCCCCCAUGGGAGAGGGUCCCCGCGGCCUCCAGGCUGCGCCCACGUGCGCGCAGGGUCGUCCGUCGCCCCGAGCGCCCGCUCUCCGGCCCGGGCGUGGGAGGCGCCUAGGAAGAGAGCCGAUCUGGAGUAGGCACCCGGCGGCCGGGAGGCUGGAAGGCGUCUGCCCCCAAGAGCUCCCUGGCCGUGCGCGCCGCGUCAACCCCCUUGGCAGAGCCGCGCGCCGAUGAGUGUGGCCACGCUAGGAGAACGCAGCACUGGAGCUGGCCCCAGGCGGGCAGUGGCCUCGGGCGAGGGCAGAAGGGCACUCCGGGCAGUGAAUAGAACACUUGCUUAUCCCUUCAGAGGACAAGCCGGUGGCAGGCUUGGAGCCCCCAGUGACGGGGUCACCUAGGGGUCACUGACCUACAGGAAUUCCUUCUCUUAGCAAGGAACUGCUUGAGAUCUCCUUCAUAUCUCCAGGACCUUGUACAGUUCAAGAUACAUAAUAAUUUCUUGAGGGGAAAAAAAAAAAGCUUGUUAAAUAAAAUAAUUAGCAAAUACUCAGCCUUCAAAGUCCCCAGAGACUGGUUCUUGGUGCAUCCUAAUUGCUGCAAAAUUGCUUGUCGAAUGAAAAAAAUAUCAGUGGAUCUUCAGGCUUCA